GGUCAGAUGGCCGAGUUGGUCUAAGGCGUGAGACUAAGGCACUGUAUAAUCUCAUCUCUUCGGGGGCGUGGGUUCGAAUCCCACUCUGAUCA
Ramaria rubella is the source of this 92-nucleotide non-coding RNA. The record is from the annotation of a GenBank genome assembly. NCBI's taxonomy places the organism in Eukaryota, Fungi, Basidiomycota, Agaricomycetes, Gomphales, Gomphaceae.